GCCUACGGGGGGCAGCAGUGAGGAAUAUUGGUCAAUGGGCGGGAGCCUGAACCAGCCAAGUCGCGUGAGGGAAGACGGUCCUAUGGAUUGUAAACCUCUUUAGGCGGGGAGCAGUGCCGGGCACGUGUGCCCGGAGGGAGAGUACCCGCAGAAUAAGCAUCGGCUAACUCCGUGCCAGCAGCCGCGGUAAUACGGAGGAUGCGAGCGUUAUCCGGAUUUAUUGGGUUUAAAGGGUGCGUAGGCGGAUUUUUAAGUCAGCGGUAAAAUGUCCGGGCUCAACCCGGGCCGGCCGUUGAAACUGGGGG
This 305-nucleotide ribosomal RNA is filed under the name uncultured bacterium. RNAcentral's name for it is "bacterial SSU rRNA". It matches the Rfam family "Bacterial small subunit ribosomal RNA", at positions 337 to 639 of the family's 1533-position model. The record is from RNAcentral.